GAUGAUUUUUAGGAGAUUAUGGUGUCUGGCUAGAUCACGCUGGCGGCGCGCCUAACACAUGCAAGUCGCACGAGAAAGCGGGAGCAAUCUCGCAAGUAAAGUGGCGUACGGGUGCGUAACACGUGAGCAACCUGCCCCGAAGACUGGGAUAACACCGGGAAACCGGUGCUAAUACCGGAUGCCUUCAUCAUGUCGCAUGGCGAGAUGAAGAAAUGGAUUCCGCUUCGGGAUGGGCUCGCGGCCUAUCAGCUUGUUGGUGGGGUAAUGGCCUACCAAGGCAACGACGGGUAGCUGGUCUGAGAGGAUGUCCAGCCACACUGGGACUGAGACACGGCCCAGACUCCUACGGGAGGCAGCAGUUAGGAAUCUUGCGCAAUGGGCGAAAGCCUGACGCAGCGACGCCGCGUGCGGGAUGACGGCCCUCGGGUUGUAAACCGCUUUCAGCAGGGACGAUUAUGACGGUACCUGCAGAAGAAGCCCCGGCCAACUACGUGCCAGCAGCCGCGGUAAUACGUAGGGGGCAAGCGUUGUCCGGAUUUAUUGGGCGUAAAGAGCUCGUAGGCGGUUUGGUAAGUCGGGUGUGAAAUCUCCACGCUCAACGUGGAGGGGCCACUCGAUACUGCCAUGACUGGAGUCCGGUAGAGGAGUGUGGAAUUCCCGGUGUAGCGGUGAAAUGCGCAGAUAUCGGGAGGAACACCCGUAGCGAAGGCGGCACUCUGGGCCGGAACUGACGCUGAGGAGCGAAAGCGUGGGGAGCAAACAGGAUUAGAUACCCUGGUAGUCCACGCCGUAAACGUUGGGCACUAGGUGUGGGGAUCUAUCGACGGUUUCCGUGCCGAAGCUAACGCAUUAAGUGCCCCGCCUGGGGGAGUACGGCCGCAAGGCUA
This 887-nucleotide ribosomal RNA is filed under the name uncultured soil bacterium. RNAcentral's name for it is "SSU rRNA". It matches the Rfam family "Bacterial small subunit ribosomal RNA", at positions 1 to 896 of the family's 1533-position model. The record is from RNAcentral.